GCAAACUUGGUCAUUUAGAGGAAGUAAAAGUCGUAACAAGGUCUCCGUUGGUGAACCAGCGGAGGGAUCAUUACUGAGACUUAAUCUCUACCCUUGUGAACUAUACUUAGUGUUGCUUCGGCAGGUUUCCCUGGGAGGGAAUACUGCGAGGGCAUAGCCCAUGAGCACCUGCCAGAGGCAUUUUUACUCUUGGUUUUAGUGUAUUUCUGAGUAUUUUUUAAUAAGAAAAACUUUCAGCAACGGAUCUCUUGGUUCUGGCAUCGAUGAAGAACGCAGC
RNAcentral lists this unclassified non-coding RNA (277 nucleotides) under uncultured fungus. RNAcentral's name for it is "partial contains small subunit ribosomal RNA, internal transcribed spacer 1, and 5.8S ribosomal RNA". The stretch from base 1 to 73 matches the Rfam family "Eukaryotic small subunit ribosomal RNA", at positions 1759 to 1831 of the family's 1831-position model. The record is from RNAcentral. Lineage: Eukaryota; Fungi.